RNAcentral lists this ribosomal RNA (253 nucleotides) under uncultured bacterium. RNAcentral describes it as "partial 16S ribosomal RNA". It matches the Rfam family "Bacterial small subunit ribosomal RNA", at positions 524 to 776 of the family's 1533-position model. The record is from RNAcentral.
UACGAAGGGGGCUAGCGUUGUUCGGAAUUACUGGGCGUAAAGCGCACGUAGGCGGACAGUUAAGUUGGAGGUGAAAGCCUUGGGCUCAACCCAAGAAUUGCCUUUGAUACUGGAUGUCUCGAGACCGGGAGAGGUGAGUGGAAUUCCGAGUGUAGAGGUGAAAUUCGUAGAUAUUCGGAAGAACACCAGUGGCGAAGGCGGCUCACUGGCCCGGUUCUGGCGCUGAGGUGCGAAAGCGUGGGGAGCAAACAGG